RNAcentral lists this microRNA (21 nucleotides) under Ciona intestinalis (vase tunicate). Its description in RNAcentral is "cin-miR-4196-5p". Lineage: Eukaryota; Metazoa; Chordata; Ascidiacea; Phlebobranchia; Cionidae. The record is from miRBase by way of RNAcentral.
ACUCCAAAACAGAGCACAGCG